Molecule: non-coding RNA, 1762 nt
Organism: Xyrichtys novacula (pearly razorfish)
Lineage: Eukaryota; Metazoa; Chordata; Actinopteri; Labriformes; Labridae
Source: the annotation of a GenBank genome assembly
GUGCUAACACAGAUCUGGAUAUUUAGUCUGGAAAUUAACUUAUUCUAGUUGCAGAUAAAAUUUUCAGCAUUUUAAGGAUUUGAUUAUAAAGGGACCUUGGUUUGAUAUGAGAAAUGAAAGUGAAAUAAUCACUGUGUAGCAUGUGAAACUCAACCCAAAUAAAGUCCCAAGACAUCAUAUCAUGAUCAUAGAAUGGACAGGAUCUGCCUCCUCGCUGGGUGAAACCACUUCGAGAACAGCAACCUCUGGUGACAGGCUGCAGUAUAGGUCAUAAAUCCUGCCUCCACCAGCAAAGGCUUGUGGGGAUGUUGGUCUCAGUUAUUCUCUCACUGUGGACAACAGAGGAGAAGAGCUGAGCUUAAGAGCGUAGGUGGUCUCUAAAGACCUGAGUCUUGAGCUUUUUCUUAAAGGUAGAAAGGGACUCUGUGGAUCUGAUAGAGUUUGGUCAUUUAUUCCACCAUCACCAAAGGCUAACAGAGGAGAAGAUUCUGGGGAGUGACGAAAGGCCUUUUGUGAUGGGAGCACCAGACACAGUCCAGUGGCAGAGCAUUACAUGUGGGAGAGAGUUUAGACCUGCAUGAGGGACGACAAGGUUGGCAGGAGCUGAUUGAAGGCAGGAAGUAGGGCCUUAUAUUUCAUGACAGCUGCUACUGGAAACCAGUGGAGAGAGAUGAACAGUAAAGUGAUGAGCUGAUUCAGGUUGGUGAAAAACUGGACAGGCUGCUUCAUUUUGGUUCAUCUCCAGAGGUUUGACUGUCCUACAGGGAGGCCUGCCAGUGAGGAGAUGCAGUUGUCAAUGUGUUUACAGUAGAAACAUGGCAGUGUGAGAUGGUGACCUUGUGUGUCGAUAUAAAAGGCUCAUUCUAAAUAAGCAAAAACAAAAAAGUAACACUUUAUUUGAAGGGUUGACAUAACACUGACAAUACGCUGUCAUAAUCAUGACAUAACCCCUGUCAUCAACAUGAAUAUGGCUUAAUUAGGUUAUCAAUAAGUGUCACUAUGACACCUUUAGUGCUAUUAUAAUGACAGUGCCUUUUCAAACAAUGUCAACAUAGACCAAAGGUGUCAAAGUUUACUGAAUGAUACAGACCACCCAUACAGGAAGUGACAGAACAGGCUACUUCCUUAGGAGGCUGUGGUCUUUUAACAUCUUCAAGAGACUCCUGUGGAUGCUGUAUCAGUCUGUGGGUGCCAUACUCUCUUUGCUUUUCAGCUCUGGAGGUUGUGACUUGUUAUUGAGGGGUUUGCAAACUCCAAAUUAAUAAACCUUUACAGAGGACACCCUUGGCUUUUUUAACUUUCAGGCCCAUUUCCUUGUUACCUGACACUGGACUCUCUGGUGACGGUGGAGGAGAACUGAGGACAAACUACUGGAGAUUAUGGAUGAUGCCAGUCAUCCUCUGCACACCAUCAUCAUCAACUUAAGUGACAGUCCGCUCCUUCCUGUUGGAGGUGAGAAAACACAUUUUGUACUACGUUUAUGUCAUUUCCUCGUUCUCUUCCUGCUGGUCUAAUGUGCAAAGAAGGAGCAUGCAUCAAAACACUGAGACGAAACAUGAGUGACUGGUGCUUUUCUUAGUCACUUUUUAAGUCACUGCGAGAUAAAAUGAUCAAUAACAUUUUAUUAGAUCUUUAAUCUUUAUAUAUAGUGCUUUUUAUUUCUUACUUAUUUAAACAUUAUGUUUUGUUUGUAAAUACUGAUGCUGCUGGAAUUUUAAUUUCGAUGGAUGAACCUUCCCAAAAGGAUCAAUGAAGUCUAUCU